AUUGAACGCUGGCGGCAGGCCUAACACAUGCAAGUCGAGCGGAUGAAGGGAGCUUGCUCCUGUAUUCAGCGGCGGACGGGUGAGUAAUGCCUACGAAUCUGCCUUGUAGUGGGGGAUAACGUCCGGAAACGGGCGCUAAUAUCGCACACGUCCUGAGGGAGAAAGUGGUGGAUCUUCGGACCUCAAGCUAUCUGCUGACCCUAGGUCGGAUUAGCUAGUUGGUGGGGUAAAGGCCUACCAAGGCGACGAUCCGUAACUGGUCUGAGAGGAUGAUCAGUCACACUGGAACUGAGACACGGUCCAGACUCCUACGGGAGGCAGCAGUGGGGAAUAUUGGACAAUGGGCGAAAGCCUGAUCCAGCCAUGCCGCGUGUGUGAAGAAGGUCUUCGGAUUGUAAAGCACUUUAAGUUGGGAGGAAGGGCAGUAAGUUAAUACCUUGCUGUUUUGACGUUACCAACAGAAUAAGCACCGGCUAACUUCGUG
Molecule: ribosomal RNA, 484 nt
Filed under: uncultured bacterium
Lineage: Bacteria
Description: partial 16S ribosomal RNA
Rfam family: Bacterial small subunit ribosomal RNA
Source: RNAcentral